This is a long non-coding RNA of Homo sapiens (human), 556 nucleotides long. Ensembl annotates it as long intergenic non-protein coding RNA 174. Lineage: Eukaryota; Metazoa; Chordata; Mammalia; Primates; Hominidae. The record is from Ensembl.
GCAAGUUUCCCAGUGCUGGAAUACAGAAAAUGGAUGGACAACUGGAUCUACCAUGAAAGACUUCAGAGUCCAGGAAGAGAGACUGACUGGGCAACAUGUUAUUCAGUUACAAAAAGACUUGGACUAUGACUCAAAAAUGAUCAAAUAAUAGUUCAUGCAUCAAAUGCAAUAGGAAGUACUUCUGGAGGGGUCUUGCUCUGUUGUCCAGGCUGGAGUGCGGUAGUGCUAUCACAGCUGACUGCAUCCUCAACCUCUCAGGCUCAAGCAGUCCUCCCACCUCAGCCUCCCAGGUGGCUGAGACUGUACGUGCUUGCCACAAUGCCCAACUAAUAAUUUGGACUUUUCCUAUACAUGGGUUCCAAAGGGCUGACUGCGAAACGAAGUGACCUCACAAUGACUCAAGCUACCACUUAGUGUUGAUUGUGAUGAAAUGCCAGCUGUGGCAUAUGCCUUGGGAGCUAAGUGGCUGCUGCACUUGACCACUAUGAAGACUGGUGUGGAAGGGUCCUUCUGGAUGUACUUGGGCAGGGUCCCCAACGCCAGAGCCAUGGAACUG